CCAUGGCGAUGCGGUAGCAACGGCGAGUGAAGCGGCAACAGCUCAAAUUUGAAAGCUAGCCUUCGGGUUCGCAUUGUAAUUUGUAGAGGAUGCUUUGGGUAAAACGCCAGUCUAAGUUCCUUGGAACAGGACGUCAUAGAGGGUGAGAAUCCCGUAUGUGACUGGAAAUGUUAACCUAUGUAAAGCUCCUUCGACGAGUCGAGUUGUUUGGGAAUGCAGCUCUAAAUGGGAGGUAAAUUUCUUCUAAAGCUAAAUAUUGGCGAGAGACCGAUAGCGCACAAGUAGAGUGAUCGAAAGAUGAAAAGCACUUUGGAAAGAGAGUUAAAAAGCACGUGAAAUUGUUGAAAGGGAAGCGCUUGCAAUCAGACUUGUUUAAACUGUUCGGCCGGUCUUCUGACCGGUUUACUCAGUUUGGACAGGCCAGCAUCAGUUUCGGCGGCCGGAUAAAGGCAUUGGGAAUGUGGCCUUCACUUCGGUGGAGGUGUUAUAGCCCAGUGUGUAAUACGGCCAGCCGGGACUGAGGUCCGCGCUUCGGCUAGGAUGCUGGCGUAAUGGUUGUAAGCGACCCGCAAAA
Molecule: ribosomal RNA, 574 nt
Filed under: Aureobasidium namibiae
Lineage: Eukaryota; Fungi; Ascomycota; Dothideomycetes; Dothideales; Saccotheciaceae
Description: eukaryotic LSU rRNA
Rfam family: Eukaryotic large subunit ribosomal RNA
Source: RNAcentral